RNAcentral lists this long non-coding RNA (944 nucleotides) under Hordeum vulgare. Its description in RNAcentral is "long non-coding RNA (HVUL_LNC019471)". The record is from RNAcentral. Lineage: Eukaryota; Viridiplantae; Streptophyta; Magnoliopsida; Poales; Poaceae.
AAGUCUAUCAAACAUAAUGGAACAAAAAAAAUUCUUUACAGAUCCAGGUAUUAAGAAAUCAAUAGGAUAUUUGAUCUUACCACACAAUACUUCAACAUCUCUUACAAUCCUAAUCAGUGAAAUGGUAUCCCUACUUGCAAGCUUAAUAGUGACAUCUAUCUCUUCUAUCUCAACAAGUUAAAUAUCAUGUAUAACUUCUUGAUAGAGAGAAAUGAAUAACACUUAUGCUAGCACCAAUAUCACAUAAACCACGAUAAAAAUGAUCUCCAAUCUUAAGAGAAACAACAUGCAUGCCAAUAACCCUUUUAUUUUUUAUCCGGGUAGUAAAAAGUCUUGUUUUCAUUAUAGGACAAAUCGAUCCAACAUUUAUUUUCUCAAAUGGCCACUAGCCAAACUAUUGUGUUGUACAAUACAUGUAUCCUUUAAUGUUUGUCCUUCUAAUAGCAUCUCCAGUUCAUUUGAGACAUGGUUAAACAAGGUAGAGCGACAACAACACAUACUAGAACCGGAGUGUGUCCAUUACUUGGGGGUCUAUGGAAUUGUCGGAAUGACGUUACAUCUGACACACACAACAUCAUAAUUUUUUUUGCAGAUCCUCUUCCGGGCAUGUGGAUGGAUCCAUAUGUGGUCAUUGCUCAGUUCUCCAGAAGUCACACAACAUAUGACUCACUAGUGCAACCGCUUGGAGACGAUAGCAUGGGAUACAUAUAAUUGGUUUGGUUGGUGGUUUAAUAAUAGAAUAUGUGUUUAGUAGUAUUCACCUAUUUUUGCUCGUUACGUCAUUUUAUUUCUUUUUGUCCGACUUUACUUGUGAACUUGUAUUGAACUACGAAAAAUUCAUAGAUGCACCUAAAAUCACUCCCAUCAAGUUAUCUAGGGAUCCGUAAUGUUUGUUGUAUUACGAGGUGUAUCUCCUUUGUAUGUUGCUUUGAAUAGAAAUCUGC